This 402-nucleotide long non-coding RNA is filed under the name Olea europaea (common olive). Its description in RNAcentral is "long non-coding RNA (OEUR_LNC005093)". The record is from RNAcentral. Lineage: Eukaryota; Viridiplantae; Streptophyta; Magnoliopsida; Lamiales; Oleaceae.
GAUUGCUAAACUCCCAUUUUAUGGGACCCACCACCUCAAGUAUGCCUCAGCGGCCCCAUGUAUAAAAUUCCCUUUCCCGUUCCUUAUUCAAAAGAGAAAUCCUUGACAAAGUCAACACGAACACGGUUUCACAAUUCAAUCCCCAUAAACGAACGAUUGCCAUUGCAUAAAUCGAUGUAGAAGAUUGCUAAACUCCCAUUUUAUGGGACCCACCACCUCAAGUAUGCCUCAGCGGCCCCAUGUAUAAAAUUACCUUUCCCGUUUCUUAUUCAAAAGAGAAAUCCUUGACAAAGUCAACACGAACACGGUUUCACAAUUCAAUCCCCAUAAACGAACGACCUUUUUCACUGAUAUUGAGGAAUUUGUGAGAGAAUGGACGGUGGAGAUUCGUCGGGAAAAGGG